Molecule: ribosomal RNA, 683 nt
Filed under: Microbacterium sp.
Lineage: Bacteria; Bacillati; Actinomycetota; Actinomycetes; Micrococcales; Microbacteriaceae
Description: bacterial SSU rRNA
Rfam family: Bacterial small subunit ribosomal RNA
Source: RNAcentral
CGGUGAAGCCCAGCUUGCUGGGUGGAUCAGUGGCGAACGGGUGAGUAACACGUGAGCAACCUGCCCCUGACUCUGGGAUAAGCGCUGGAAACGGCGUCUAAUACUGGAUACGAGACGUGAUCGCAUGGUCAACGUUUGGAAAGAUUUUUCGGUUGGGGAUGGGCUCGCGGCCUAUCAGCUUGUUGGUGAGGUAAUGGCUCACCAAGGCGUCGACGGGUAGCCGGCCUGAGAGGGUGACCGGCCACACUGGGACUGAGACACGGCCCAGACUCCUACGGGAGGCAGCAGUGGGGAAUAUUGCACAAUGGGCGAAAGCCUGAUGCAGCAACGCCGCGUGAGGGAUGACGGCCUUCGGGUUGUAAACCUCUUUUAGCAGGGAAGAAGCGAAAGUGACGGUACCUGCAGAAAAAGCACCGGCUAACUACGUGCCAGCAGCCGCGGUAAUACGUAGGGUGCAAGCGUUAUCCGGAAUUAUUGGGCGUAAAGAGCUCGUAGGCGGUUUGUCACGUCUGCUGUGAAAUCUGGAGGCUCAACCUCCAGCCUGCAGUGGGUACGGGCAGACUAGAGUGCGGUAGGGGAGAUUGGAAUUCCUGGUGUAGCGGUGGAAUGCGCAGAUAUCAGGAGGAACACCAAUGGCGAAGGCAGAUCUCUGGGCCGUAACUGACGCUGAGGAGCGAAAGGAU